This 512-nucleotide long non-coding RNA is filed under the name Amphimedon queenslandica. RNAcentral's name for it is "uncharacterized LOC109592846". The record is from RNAcentral. Lineage: Eukaryota; Metazoa; Porifera; Demospongiae; Haplosclerida; Niphatidae.
GCAACAAGUCAUGCUUUUAGGCUUGCCUAAGCUCUGAUUUAAUAGCAUCACAAUGUGGCUCACGCAUAUUCCAUGCUGUCACGUUAUCUCUGUGUAAUGAUGAAUGAGUGAAAAAAAUCUACAUGUACUAAUGUCUAUGACUGCUAAUUUAUACAUACAGUAGAAGGCAAUAAAAACUUCGCGUUCCGUUUACGUUGAACGGCGAUUAAACUGUAGCGCCGUUUCCGUUUUUAUUGUGGUUAUUCCGUUCAUGGUCCGUUGGGUCUGGGCACUACCGUUUUUGUUUUCAUGAGCAACGCUCCAAGCGUUGCUCGACUUUUCUCUUUUCUAACAGUUUCUUCAGGAGUCAGGCUUUCUUAGAUACACUUACAGAAUGACUACGAGCCAUGGUUGAUGAUAAAACGAGACAGGACGACAGGUAGUCACAAGAAAGAGUGCUCUGUCAAGCAAAGAAGCAGCUAUUAUAUUAUUAUCAUUUAUAAAAUAAAAUCAUGUAAUUAUAGACCUGCUAG